Molecule: RNA transcript, 2104 nt
Organism: Daucus carota subsp. sativus
Lineage: Eukaryota; Viridiplantae; Streptophyta; Magnoliopsida; Apiales; Apiaceae
Gene name: DNA repair protein recA homolog 1, chloroplastic-like
Exons: 6
Source: RefSeq, a predicted model, not a curated record
UUUUAGUUAAACCAAUUUAUUUUUAGGUAUAAAAUCACUCGUCGUGUAGGUUAAGGCGGCAGCUUCUCAAUUACAUUAGGGCAUCGCCUAGAUUAGGGCAUCGCCGCAACGAUCUAUGAUAAUCGUGUGUGUAUGUAUCUAGAGUGUAAAGUGCUGAAUCGUUUCGUGAUGCUAUCUGUUUCGAAGUCUAAAAACAGUAAACAAUGAAGAAGAUGCUCCAGAAAAACAAAACAAUGAUCUGCCUGAUUGGGUUGGCAAGGGAAAACAGUAGUUCUACCAAACCCGCCUCAAAGUGGACAACGAGAAAUGCCAACAUUAUCAUUCCGGAAUUCCCACUUUGCUUGAUAUUUGUCAGACAACAAAAAUUAUUUGUUACAUGUACAAACUUCAUACAGUAUAUGCAAAAUCGUGACAGUCAAUCUUUAUCUCUCUAACAAGCUUUAUAUGUCCAAUGUACUCUUUGUGUCCAGUGGUCAUGCAGCUGAUAUGAGGCAAAAGAACCCAAAGGCUGGCAACCCAUUUAAUGGAAUGUAUAUAAUACGUUUGUGUGAUGACAGAGGAUCGAUUCAGCACUUUGUAAAAAAAAUUCAUAGUUUACAUGCUACUCACUUGACGUAUAUGUAAUUAAUAUUAUUUUUAAAAUUUUAUACUAAAGAAUGUCAAAUCUUAUAUCUAUAUAAAGCAAAAUCUCGGGCGUCUUACGUGGCGCUCUUUACGCUCUUGAAUCAAAAUCCCUGCUCUCUGCACUUUUGAUUGUUGUUAGGAAUUAAUCAUCAUAUUGGUUUUUGUUGUCCAUCAUUGAUUAAAUAUUAAAAAUUUGAGAAUUUAACUUUAAAGGUGUUUUCUCUUAGCUUUUAAUCUGAAAACACUUGCAAUACCACUUGUACAAAAGAUAACCAAGAAGGUAAUUUGUUAUUAUGACUUAUAGUGCAAGGGAUGAUUUAGUUAAAAGUACUCCAAUGAUAAAGUUGCAACUAUAUCCGUGCUUGUGCCAGUUUAUCUGAAGUAGUCUGAUAUGUACGGAAUUGGAUUCACUGUAUAUGAUUCACUUCCUAUGAACUAUCCCACACUCUUGGUGUAGAAGGCAUCGGCAUUGUUAUUAUUAUUAGGAGUCGUAAACAGGGAUUGCAUUCAUCAUAUAUUAUACCCUAAAUUGAUAGAGCUGGGUGGAGUUUUGAAAGAAGGUGAGUCCUUAAAUAGUGAUAUAAUAUGCGGUGCUUUACUUUCUGAGUUUCAUAAUCUUGUCAGGUAAUAUUAUUCUUUAAGAAGCACCGUGAUUAGGAAAGAACGUAAGAUGUCAAAUAUGCCUCAGGUUCUUAUGGGAAACACCUACAGACUACAGUUCUUGGAUUAAUCAACUUGAUAGGAUAUUAUACAAUUCAAGAAGAAGAUGGAUGUCUAAAAAUAAAUUAGCUCAUAAGUCAAACAAUGUGGAAAUGAGGAAUGUUACAAUUUAUUUCAUGGACCAUAAUCAAAACUAAUCUAAUGUCCAUAUUUGAUGUAAAUAUUUUGUUACAGGCGAAAGCAUUGGAAGCAGCUAUGAAUGACAUUAAUAACUCAUUUGGAAAUGGAGCUGUAACAAUAUUAGGCAAUGCUGGUGGAUCUCUUGUUGACUCUUUUCCAAGUGGUUGUCUGACAUUGGACAUUGCAUUGGGUGUCGGCCUUCCUAGAGGAAAUAUUGUUGAGGUAUGUUUUCGUACACACUUUGAGGUAUUGUAAAACAAACUCAGUACAAUCUUUUUCACGUGAAGAUUAUCUUGUUUAAUAUCCGGGAUACGUAUGGCUCAGAGAUGGUGAAGUAAACAAUGAAGAUGAUGCUCCAAAAAGAUGGAAAGCAGUAACUAAGGCUGGCUAAUCUGCUACUUAUCUGCUAUUAAGAAGCUGCUGCUUGUCUACUUGGUUAUUUCGUUGAAGAUAAAACAACGCGACAUAUCAAGAACUUUUGAAAUUGCAAGAACUAAGUUAAAAGCUGGCAAUGUAGAUGAUUUUUUUCCAAGUAGUUGAACCUACCAAUGUAUUCCUUACCAUAUUGUCUUAUUCUUAUUUCUAUGUAACAUCAAUGCUCAAAAGACUUAAAAUCUAAGUUACUCAAGUAGUUUUUAUA